CCGUAGCACUGCAGUUGAAACUGGACGGCUUGAGUGCAGUUGAGGCAGGCGGAAUUCGUGGUGUAGCGGUGAAAUGCUUAGAUAUCACGAAGAACCCCGAUUGCGAAGGCAGCCUGCUAAGCUGCAACUGACGUUGAGGCUCGAAAGUGUGGGUAUCAAACAGGAUUAGAUACCCUGGUAGUCCGCACGGUAAACGAUGGAUACUCGCUGUCGGCGAUACACGGUCGGCGGCCAAGCGAAAGCGUUAAGUAUCCCACCUGGGGAGUACGCCGGCAACGGUGAAACUCAAAGGAAUUGACGGGGGCCCGCACAAGCGGAGGAACAUGUGGUUUAAUUCGAUGAUACGCGAGGAACCUUACCCGGGCUUGAACUGUGCCUGACAGCCUCAGAGAUGGGGCUUCCAGCAAUGGCAGGCAUGGAGGUGCUGCAUGGUUGUCGUCAGCUCGUGCCGUGAGGUGUCGGCUUAAGUGCCAUAACGAGCGCAACCCCUCCCGCCAGUUGCCAUCAGGUAAAGCUGGGCACUCUGGGGGCACUGCCACCGCAAGGUGUGAGGAAGGUGGGGAUGACGUCAAAUCAGCACGGCCCUUACGUCCGGGGCUACACACGUGUUACAAUGGGAGGUCACAGAGGGCUGCUACCCGGCGACGNNNNNCCAAUCCCCAAACCCUCCCUCAGUACGGACUGGAGUCUGCAACCCGACUCCCCGAAGCUGGAUUCGCUAGUAAUCGCGCAUCAGCCACGGCGCGGUGAAUACGUUCCCGGGCCUUGUACACACCGCCCGUCAAGCCAUGAAAGCCGGCGGUGCCUGAAGUGCGUAACCGCAAGGGGCGCCCUAGGGUAAAGCCGGUGAUUGGGGCUAAGUCGUAACAAGGUAACCA
RNAcentral lists this ribosomal RNA (878 nucleotides) under uncultured bacterium. RNAcentral's name for it is "bacterial SSU rRNA". It matches the Rfam family "Bacterial small subunit ribosomal RNA", at positions 613 to 1502 of the family's 1533-position model. The record is from RNAcentral.